RNAcentral lists this ribosomal RNA (253 nucleotides) under uncultured bacterium. Its description in RNAcentral is "partial 16S ribosomal RNA". It matches the Rfam family "Bacterial small subunit ribosomal RNA", at positions 524 to 776 of the family's 1533-position model. The record is from RNAcentral.
UACGUAGGGUGCGAGCGUUAAUCGGAAUUACUGGGCGUAAAGAGUGCGUAGGCGGUCCCGCAAGUCCGCUGUGAAAGCCCCGGGCUUAACCUGGGAAUGGCAGUGGAAACUAGGGGACUUGAAUCUGGCAGAGGGGGGUGGAAUGCCACGUGUAGCAGUGAAAUGCGUCGAGAUGUGGCGGAACACCGAUGGCGAAGGCAGCCCCCUGGGCUGAGAUUGACGCUCAGGCACGAAAGCGUGGGGAGCAAACAGG